Molecule: ribosomal RNA, 1906 nt
Filed under: human gut metagenome
Description: bacterial LSU rRNA
Rfam family: Bacterial large subunit ribosomal RNA
Source: RNAcentral
UCAAGCUAGAAAGAGCGCAAGGGGAAUGCCUUGGCAUCAGGAGCCGAUGAAGGACGUGACAAGCUGCGAUAAGCUGCGGUGAGCUGCACAUAAGCUUUGACCCGCAGAUCUCCGAAUGGGGAAACCCGGCAGAGCAAUACUCUGUCAGCGUGCGUUGAAUCAAAUAGGCGUACGCGGGGAACCGCCUGAACUGAAACAUCUAAGUAGGGCGAGGAAGAGAAAUCAACCGAGAUUCCGCUAGUAGUGGCGAGCGAACGCGGAAGAGGGCAAACCGGAGGAUUUAUCCUCCGGGGUUGUGGACAGUUUUUUAGCAACUGGAACUAGGAGAACGGUAUGGGAAGGCCGGCCAUAGCGGGUGAUAGCCCCGUAUCCGAAAGGGAAGGUUGUGCGACUGGAUCCAGAGUACCGCCGGACACGUGAAACCCGGUGGGAAGCUGGGGGGACCACCCUCCAACCCUAAAUACUACCUGAUGACCGAUAGAGGAGCAGUACCGUGAGGGAAAGGUGAAAAGGACCCCGGGAGGGGAGUGAAAGAGAACCUGAAACCUUGUGCUUACAAGCACUCAAAGCCCGUUAAAGGGUGAUGAGGUACCUUUUGUAGAAUGGUCCGGCGAGUUAUUGUUACUGGCAAGCUUAAGGCAUUCAGUGCCGGAGGCGAAGGGAGACCGAGUCUGAAUAGGGCGUAUGAAGUCAGUGGCAAUAGACCCGAAACCGGGUGACCUAUCCAUGGGCAGGUUGAAGUGGGGGUAAAACCCCAUGGAGGACCGAACGCACGCCCGUUGCAAUGGUCGGCGAUGACCUGUGGAUAGCGGUGAAAUUCCAAUCGAACGCGGAGAUAGCUGGUUCUCCCCGAAAUAGCUUUAGGGCUAGCGUUGGCUUAGAUUACCGGAGGUAAAGCACUGAAUGGGCUAGGGGCCGAUAAGGUUACUGAACCCUAUCAAACUCUGAAUGCCGGAUAAUUGAUGGCCAGCAGUCAGUCUACGUGAGAUAAGUCUCGUGGACAAAAGGGAAACAGCCCAGACCCACAGCUAAGGUCCCAAAGAUACGCUAAGUGGAAAACGAUGUGGAGUUGCGAAAACAACCAGGAUGUUGGCUUAGAAGCAGCCACUCAUUAAAAGAGUGCGUAAUAGCUCACUGGUCGAGUGACUCUGCGCGGAAAAUAUAACGGGGCUAAGCGUAACACCGAAGCUUGGGCUGCACAGCAAUGUGCGGGGUAGGGGAGCGUCGAAUAUGGGGUGAAGUCGCAGCGGAAGCAGCGGUGGACUGUAUUCGAGUGAGAAUGCCGGAAUGAGUAGCGAGAAUUAUGUGGGAAUCAUAAUGGCCGAAAAUCUAAGGUUUCCUGGGGAAGGUUCGUCCGCCCAGGGUAAGCCGGGAGCUAAGGCGAGGCCGGAAGGCGUAGUCGAUGCACAUACGGUUGAAAUUCCGUAGCCACCGAACCUUAAGUACACUGACACAUGGAGAUAGCGGGACCCGGGCGUUGGUUGACCCGGGCGUAAGGGACCGAACUUUAGUAGGGAAGUCCGCGAUGCUCUGUGGCGAGAAAAGGUGUAUGGUAUGCUAAGGUGCCCGUACCGCAAACCGACACAGGUAGAUGAGGAGAGAAUCCUAAGGCCAACGGGAGAAGGGUUGUUAAGGAACUCGGCAAAAUGACCCCGUAACUUCGGGAUAAGGGGAGCCUCCUACGGGAGGCCGCAGCGAAUAGGCCCAAGCGACUGUUUACCAAAAACACAGGUCUCUGCUAAAUCGAAAGAUGACGUAUAGGGGCUGACGCCUGCCCGGUGCUGGAAGGUUAAGAGGAGAUGUUAGCCGCAAGGCGAAGCAUUGAAUCGAAGCCCCAGUAAACGGCGGCCGUAACUAUAACGGUCCUAAGGUAGCGAAAUUCCUUGUCAGGUAAGUUCUGACCCGC